AGGGCAUCCGGAUCGACACCGCGCGUGACGACAAGGUAAUCGCGAAUAGCGAUGCUGUGGCGCCCUUC
Molecule: small RNA, 68 nt
Filed under: Mycolicibacterium wolinskyi
Lineage: Bacteria; Bacillati; Actinomycetota; Actinomycetes; Mycobacteriales; Mycobacteriaceae
Description: Mycobacterium wolinskyi ASdes TB sRNA
Rfam family: ASdes TB sRNA
Source: Rfam by way of RNAcentral